This 201-nucleotide ribosomal RNA is filed under the name uncultured Lactobacillus sp. RNAcentral describes it as "partial 16S ribosomal RNA". It matches the Rfam family "Bacterial small subunit ribosomal RNA", at positions 162 to 356 of the family's 1533-position model. The record is from RNAcentral. Lineage: Bacteria; Bacillati; Bacillota; Bacilli; Lactobacillales; Lactobacillaceae.
GCUAAUACCGGAUAACAACAGAUGAUGCCUAUCAACUGUUUAAAAGAAUGGUUCUGCUAUCACUCUUGGAUGGACCUGCGGUGCAUUAGCUAGUUGGUAGGGUAACGGCCUACCAAGGCGAUGAUGCAUAGCCGAGUUGAGAGACUGAUCGGCCACAUUGGGACUGAGACACGGCCCAAACUCCUACGGGAGGCAGCAGUG